RNAcentral lists this ribosomal RNA (689 nucleotides) under uncultured soil bacterium. RNAcentral's name for it is "bacterial SSU rRNA". It matches the Rfam family "Bacterial small subunit ribosomal RNA", at positions 37 to 722 of the family's 1533-position model. The record is from RNAcentral.
UGGCGGAAUGCUUUACACAUGCAAGUCGAGCGGCAGCGCGGGGCAACCUGGCGGCGAGCGGCGAACGGGUGAGUAAUGCAUCGGAACAUGUCCAUGUCGUGGGGGAUAGCCCGGCGAAAGCCGGAUUAAUACCGCAUACGCCCGAGAAGGGAAAGUGGGGGACCGCAAGGCCUCACGCGAUUGGGUUGGCCGAUGUCCGAUUAGCUAGUUGGCGGGGUAAAGGCCCACCAAGGCGAUGAUCGGUAGCUGGUCUGAGAGGAUGAUCAGCCACACUGGGACUGAGACACGGCCCAGACUCCUACGGGAGGCAGCAGUGGGGAAUUUUGGACAAUGGGGGAAACCCUGAUCCAGCCAUUCCGCGUGAGUGCAGAAGGCCUUCGGGUUGUAAAGCUCUUUUGUCCGGAACGAAACGGCGAGCGUGAAUAUCGCUCGCUACUGACGGUACCGGGAGAAUAAGCACCGGCUAACUACGUGCCAGCAGCCGCGGUAAUACGUAGGGUGCAAGCGUUAAUCGGAAUUACUGGGCGUAAAGCGUGCGCAGGCGGUUCUAUAAGACAGAUGUGAAAUCCCCGGGCUCAACCUGGGAACUGCAUUUGUGACUGUAGAGCUGGAGUGCGGCAGAGGGGGAUGGAAUUCCGCGUGUAGCAGUGAAAUGCGUAGAUAUGCGGAGGAACACCGAUGGCGAAGGC